Molecule: long non-coding RNA, 1504 nt
Organism: Gasterosteus aculeatus aculeatus (three-spined stickleback)
Lineage: Eukaryota; Metazoa; Chordata; Actinopteri; Perciformes; Gasterosteidae
Source: Ensembl
CACAACAUCACCUCAUCUCGUGGCCAGGAGCCACAGUGCAUCCGCCGUCGCCACAGUGCAUCCGCGCCGCGAUGCUAUCGCUGUCUGCUCUGUGGACACGAGGCCGGCUGAUUGGGCUACUCAUUUUUAUUCAUUUGACAUCUACUUAAGUAAUUCAUUAGCAGUGCUUUAGCCCUCGGCUGUGAGCAUUUCCCGGGACACAGCAUCGUCGUUCCUCACCUUUUUCUUUCCUUCAUAAAGAAUGUCUGAGAGGCUCACGAUAACGUCACUUCAAGAUGAGGUAAUGCCUCACUUUGGUUUUCACUAAUGCAUGUCUGAGAGCGAGAAAUAGGCUAAUGGAUUUGGUCAGGAGGCCUGUUAAGGCGCUCGCUAAUUAUCGCAGAGAGCAGCGGUGAGCACUGACUGCAUGACCGCGGAGUUUCUCUACUCGCUUUCUUUCAGAUACUUGUGGUUCCACUAGAUCAGUGGUUCUCAAACUGUGGGGCGCGACCCUCUGGUGGGGCGCAGAGGUAUAACAGGUGGGGCGCGAGGGGCUUUUUAAAAAUUGUAUAUUAUUCUUUUAUUUAUAAUCCUUUAUUAAUCCCACAUGGGGAAACUAUUCUCUGCAUGUUAAGGAGCAGUGUGGAGAGAACGCGGAUCGAACCGCACUGUAAAACACAGCCCUGUUUAGUUAUGUCCACUUACUUCUUCAAGAGCUCUGAAGUUUUAGAUUUGAACUCAAGUCAAAACUUAGUUUGUAUGCUUUGCGUUGACUUCUUUGAGAUAUAUUUGUGUUAAUUGAACUUGGAUCUUUAAGUUAUCAGUUAAAAAAAAGAAAAAGACUGAAAAAGGCUGGAGUGGGGGUAAACUGUCCAAUUCCAAUGAAAAUAUAGGCAUUUUGUGGUAAACAAGAAAGGACUAUUUCCACCAGUGGAGGGAUACUAUUAACGGUUAAUAGUAUCCCUUAAAAUGUUGUUAUUUCAAUGAUAAUUAAUAAUUCAGCAUGGACCAUUUUGUUACAUUUUGAAAAAGUUUGGGAAGCACUGCACUAACUUUUAGAAAUCAAUGCAAUCAAAGUCUGUCGGUUUUCUGAAAUGUUCCUCGGGUUUAAUAUCCGUAUUCCAAAAUAAAUGAGCACUUACCGUAGUACAGCUCUUGCUAUCAGAGGUUGAAAUGUUAUUUCCUUCCAAAGCCAAACGUCCAGCAAAACAAGCUGAAAAACCAAAUUAGCAAGCACAGGCUGAUUUGAAGGUUGCACAAAUACCAAGAAGCGUUGGCUCUCAUUUGGACGUGUGAGUCUCUGGCCCAGUGGUAAAUGUAAUGUAAUUCAAAAUGCGCUCCACUUUGAGCUCUGCUUUGGUUUCCACCAAGUUAUGAGGACAUAACCUGCUUUUUAACUGAUGAAUAGGCGACAGCUGCAGUGCUUUGUGGUGUUUGGCAGGUAACAUAAAAGGCUUUUUUCUUACCAGCUGCUUACUGAUGCUGACAACAAUGACAGUGAUUUUGCACUGUCUCCCCUAGUUUU